UGGGCAGUUUAUUGCAAAAACAGAAUGAUCCCCCUUCACAUUGAACUAGUGCAUAAAAACUUCACAAAUGAUCAAGAGAGGAAAAAGGACUGAAGGUUUAAGCUAGAAAGUUUCUGGUGAGUUCUUAAUCAGUUUUUUUUUCAACAAAUGUAAGAGAGUUCUAUAUAUGUACAUACAUGUAUAUAUACAUGCACGCACACACAUAUAAUACACAAAUCCUUUUCUAAUGCAAAAAAGUA
RNAcentral lists this long non-coding RNA (239 nucleotides) under Carica papaya (papaya). RNAcentral describes it as "long non-coding RNA (CPAP_LNC004866)". The record is from RNAcentral. Lineage: Eukaryota; Viridiplantae; Streptophyta; Magnoliopsida; Brassicales; Caricaceae.